UGCAGUCGAACGCCUCGGCAACGGGGAGUGGCAGACGGGUGAGUAACGCGUGGGAACCUACCUCAAGGUACGGAACAACCAAGGGAAACUUUGGCUAAUACCGUAUGUGCCCGAGAGGGGAAAGAUUUAUCGCCUUGGGAUGGGCCCGCGUAGGAUUAGCUAGUUGGUGAGGUAAUGGCUCACCAAGGCGACGAUCCUUAGCUGGUCUGAGAGGAUGACCAGCCACACUGGGACUGAGACACGGCCCAGACUCCUACGGGAGGCAGCAGUGGGGAAUAUUGGACAAUGGGCGCAAGCCUGAUCCAGCCAUGCCGCGUGUGUGAUGAAGGCCUUAGGGUUGUAAAGCACUUUCGCCGAUGAAGAUAAUGACGGUAGUCGGAGAAGAAGCCCCGGCUAACUUCGUGCCAGCAGCCGCGGUAAUACGAAGGGGGCAAGCGUUGUUCGGAUUUACUGGGCGUAAAGCGUACGUAGGCGGAUAUUUAAGUCAGGGGUGAAAUCCCGAGGCUCAACCUCGGAACUGCCUUUGAUACUGGGUAUCUUGAGUCCGAGAGAGGUGAGUGGAACUCCUAGUGUAGAGGUGAAAUUCGUAGAUAUUAGGAAGAACACCAGUGGCGAAGGCGGCUCACUGGCUCGGAACUGACGCUGAGGUA
Molecule: ribosomal RNA, 650 nt
Filed under: uncultured bacterium
Lineage: Bacteria
Description: bacterial SSU rRNA
Rfam family: Bacterial small subunit ribosomal RNA
Source: RNAcentral